GGGGAGCCGCGGUGAAUGUGGGCAGAUGGAGCGGUGGAAAAUCCCGAGGAGCGUGCGACACCGGGCGCAGGUGGAACCGGCGUCACCUGACCCCGCGGUGUGGGCGUCUGUCCGGCAGCUUGGCGCCUCAGGAGCCGACGUCAAAGAUUCCUGGGCUGCUUAGGUUUUAUGGUUGUGCCAAAGGAGCCCACAUCCAGUCUCAAUGCCGGUUCUGUCAAAAGAGGAUCCUUAUUAGAUGGCUUUUGUCUCGUCCUUUACUCUGUGUUUUCAAAAUGUGGCCUCUGAAUCUUCAGUCUCAAGGCCACCCGACAAAGGACGUCUCUGGCCUUUGCUUGCAGGAUACCUCCCGAAGCACACACCCCCAACCCCCGCCUUCUUAUUAGAAUUUGAAAAUAAGGAGGACACAUCAGAAGCAUGAAUUUGAACAGGGACUUAUUUCUCCAGAAAUUGAAAUCCCGGGCCUCUAGUAUGAUUUCGAUCAGGCUAGAGCUGACACAACACCUCAAAAUUGUAUGUUUGUCGAUUCCAAAGGUCCUUUAGAGAGUAGAAACAGCCGUCCUUAUAAUUUGGGUACACUGAGUCAUGGCCUAACAGAUGCACCCCAUUAUUAAGUAUGAGCUCACCUGCUGUAUGGAGGAAACACCCACAUUUCUCCCAUGUGGUUAGAUACACAAACCAGCACUUGAGUUCUAAAGAUGUUCUUAAUGUCUAAUGUGUGAACCAGCAGGACAUGACUUUAUGUGCAGCCAUGUGUGUGCAGAAGCUCAUGGAGGCUGGAAUGAGGCAUUGGAACCCCCUGGACCUGAAGUUAUAGGCGGUUAUGAGCUCUCCUGUGCGUAUUGGGAACUUAACCCGGGUCCUCUUCCAAAGCAGUAAGCACUCAGCCACUGAGCCACCUCUCCAGUCCCAACAGUUGAGUGUCUGUUAGGCUGUUAGACUUGGACUCGAAAGUUAUGACAUCUAAAUACCUUAGUUUUCCUACCAGAGCCCCAGUAUAUAUGCCAGUCGAGGAAAGAAGCGGUAAAACCAUGUGAUGAUCCCAACAUAAGAAACUUGGACCACAGUUUGCAAAUGAUGCUUUCCCUUAAAGACACCGCCACCAUCUUUAAUCUUUCAGUGAAGUAUCUCCUCUCUAGUUCUAACAAGAAGGAAAUGCCACAAAAUCAAGAGUAGAUUCCAACUUGAAUGCUGAAAAUUUAAGACGUGCUGUGCAAGAAUUCUGAGACAAGUGUGCUCUUUGUGACAUGUCAUUUUGUAGACUUUCAAGAGACUAAAAAUUCAUGGUAAAGCCAGUCCCUAUCUUUUCGACGUCAUGUUACUCUGACAAGGAUUAAGCUGAGCCAUGACAUGUUUUGAAAAAGGAAAGCCUAGAUAUCUUCUAAAGAGGACAAAGAACCCACAAGGUCUGGAAACAAAGCCCAAACUCCAUGACUCACUAACUGAGGACAUUGAUCUGGAAACAGAGCCCAAACUCUGUGACUCACUAACUGAGGACUUUGAUAAGUUAUGUAAACUCUCCGAGCUUUUGUUUCCUUAUCUGAAAACUUCGGAAUCUUAGAACCUACACUGUGGGGUUAAUGACAGAUACUUAUAACCCACAUAAGUGGGUGCUGUAAAUUGUGUUUUAUUAGUUUUCAUGUUUGAUGUUUAUCCUGCACUGAGCUCUCCAGAAAUUGUGUAGUAUGUAUUCAUUUCCACAGAGCAGUAAGUAAAUGCCUCUUCCACAAAUUGUUCACAGAGAAAAUUAUGUAGCUUAUUGAAUAAUAAAAAUCUCCCCGUGUCUCAUA
Myodes glareolus (Bank vole) is the source of this 1787-nucleotide non-coding RNA. NCBI's taxonomy places the organism in Eukaryota, Metazoa, Chordata, Mammalia, Rodentia, Cricetidae. The record is from RefSeq and is a predicted model, not a curated record.